This 253-nucleotide ribosomal RNA is filed under the name uncultured bacterium. RNAcentral describes it as "partial 16S ribosomal RNA". It matches the Rfam family "Bacterial small subunit ribosomal RNA", at positions 524 to 776 of the family's 1533-position model. The record is from RNAcentral.
UACGGGGGGGGCAAGCGUUGCUCGGAUUUAUUGGGCGUAAAGAGCGUGUAGGCGGUUUGGUAGGUCCGUUGUGAAAACUCGAGGCUCAACCUCGAGACGCCGAUGGAAACCAUCAGACUAGAGUCCGGAAGAGGAGAGUGGAAUUCCUGGUGUAGCGGUGAAAUGCGCAGAUAUCGGGAGGAACACCUGUGGCGAAGGCGGCCCCCUGGUUGGAUACUGACGCUGAGACGCGAAAGCGUGGGGAGCAAACAGG